GACGAACGCUGGCGGCGUGCCUAAUACAUGCAAGUUGAGCGAUGAAGCUUUGUGCUUGCGCCGUUUUGAAGAGCAGCGAACGGGUGUGUAACGCGUGUGGAAUCUGCCUGUGAGCGGGGUACAACAUUUGGAAACGAAUGCUAAUACGGCAUAACAACUUGAAACAUAAGUGGUAAGUGUGAAAUAUGCAAUUUCAUCACGCAAUCAUGAUCCCGCGGCGUAUUAGCUUGUUGGUGAGGUAAAGGCUCACUAAGGCGAGGAUACAUAGCCAAACUGAGAGGGCGGUCGGCCGCCUUGGGAGUGAGACCCGGCACAAACUCCUACGGGAGGCAGCAGUAGGGAAUCUUGGGCCAUCAGCGAGAGACUGACCGCGCAACGCCGCGUGAGUGAAGAAGGUUUUCGGAUCGUAAAACUCUGUUGGUAGGGAAGAACGUUGGUGAGAGUGGAACGCUCAUCAAGUGACGGUAACUACUCAGAAAGCGACGGCUAACUACGUG
This 497-nucleotide ribosomal RNA is filed under the name uncultured bacterium. RNAcentral's name for it is "partial 16S ribosomal RNA". It matches the Rfam family "Bacterial small subunit ribosomal RNA", at positions 28 to 507 of the family's 1533-position model. The record is from RNAcentral.